RNAcentral lists this ribosomal RNA (254 nucleotides) under uncultured bacterium. Its description in RNAcentral is "partial 16S ribosomal RNA". It matches the Rfam family "Bacterial small subunit ribosomal RNA", at positions 524 to 776 of the family's 1533-position model. The record is from RNAcentral.
UACGGGGGGGGCAAGCGUUGUUCGGAAUUACUGGGCGUAAAGGGCUCGUAGGCGGCCAACUAAGUCAGACGUGAAAUCCCUCGGCUUAACCGGGGAACUGCGUCUGAUACUGGAUGGCUUGAGAUUGGGAGAGGGAUGCGGAAUUCCAGGUGUAGCGGUGAAAUGCGUAGAUAUCUGGAGGAACACCGGUGGCGAAGGCGGCAUCCUGGACCAACACUGACGCUGAGUGAGCGAAAGCCAGGGGAGCAAACCGG